Molecule: small nuclear RNA, 104 nt
Organism: Perognathus longimembris pacificus (Pacific pocket mouse)
Lineage: Eukaryota; Metazoa; Chordata; Mammalia; Rodentia; Heteromyidae
Source: RefSeq, a predicted model, not a curated record
GUGCUCAUUUGGGGAGCACAUAUACUAAAAUUGCAACGAUAUAGAGAUUAGCAUGACCCCUGCACAAGGAUGACACGCAAAUUAGUGAAGCGUUCCAUAUUCUU